GUAUAAGUGAUGAGUCCCAAAUAGGACGAAACGUGCGUCGUGCAU
Molecule: non-coding RNA, 45 nt
Filed under: Schistosoma mattheei
Lineage: Eukaryota; Metazoa; Platyhelminthes; Trematoda; Strigeidida; Schistosomatidae
Source: RNAcentral